CCAUCGAAACUAGUCCUGUAAAAAUUUGAAAACGCUGAUUUUUGUUGUUUGACUUCUGAAUUAGUAUCUCAUUAUUUGUUUAUAUCUGUUGUAUUAUUGUAUUGAAAUAUAAACGCAUAAAAUGUUUUGAUAUAUUAUGUUUGAUUCUGUGCUUUUAUUUGGUAAAGUAGAUAUGUUUUAACACUCCUUUCUCCUUUGAAUUAUAUAGAAAAUUUUUGUAUGUUUUCCACAUUUACCAUUUAAUAUUUUGUUGUAUAUAAUGGAUAUUUUUCACUAAAAAUUAUUAAUUAACUUUUUGGAACUAUAUAAUUUGGUAAAUAAAUACUUUUUUAAAAAACAUUAAAACUAUCUAACUGCAUGAGUGAUUCGUUAAUGUAUAUGUGUACAAAUAGUUUAAAUUUUUGUGUAAGAAUUUAAGUGGUUUCUUCUUCUUUUCUUUCUCUUUUUUUAUAGGUGUAUAGAAUUUUUGUGACUUUUCCUUCAUUGAUUACAUAAUUUAUUUUACUAUUUUCAUUAUUGUGACUUUCUUUCACUGUGUUAUGAAUAAAAAAGAUCUAAUCAUUUUCCUCCCCUUAUUAUUAUUGAUGAAUUAAAGCAGGUUGAUAUUUUAUUAGUAUAUACAUAUGUACUAAUUUGGUUAUUACUAUUUUGGCAUGUGGUUAUUUCUGCCAGUGUUUUAUUUAAAUUAAUUUAGAAUUGACUAAUUAAUUUUUUUACUUUAAAUGUUUAAUUCCCAUAAGUUUUUGCAAGCCUUAUUAUAAUGUAAUUUAAAUUUAUUAGUAUAUUUCUGUGCAUAGAAUAUUUGAAAGAAUUUGGCAAAUAUUUUUUGCUGCUGUUUCUUAGAGAAGUAAGUGUAUAAUGCUUUUAUCUUAUGAAGAUGCUACUUCUCACCUCUCUUUUUUCAGUUAUAAUUAUUAUACCAAAAUUCACAUGAAAUAAUAGUGUGUAAAAAAUAACAAAAAAAAUGUAAUAGCUAUUGAAAUAAACACUGGGAAAGCAUUUUGGCUUUCAAAACUAUUUUUGAAUGAUAUGUAAUAUUUUUAGAUUAUUAUGUUAAUAAAUACAGCUUGGGUAAGUUAAUGUUUUUGAAAAUUUUAAUGGUUAGAUAUAAAAGCCUAUUUGAGCUAUAUGGCAAUGUUUUCUUUUUAGUUCUUUGAUUGUUUACAUUUCACAAAGUAAUAUUUGUUUAUUGUUGCUUUAUGGAUGUUGGAAAAAAGAUAGACACACUGAGUUAUCAAUGUUUUUUGUUGUUACUGUCUCAGUCUAAGUGAAAUGCCAUGAUAAAGGCUGUAAUAUUUCUAUGUAAAUUUUUUAAGAAAAUUUAAUGUAUUUUGGAAAUUUUAAUCAUAUAAAACCUCUGAGCAUUAGAACCGGGUUUAUCCGGUCAUCAGAAGUUUUGCUACUUGGUAUAUAUUAGCUUAUAAUUUAAGAUAUUUUGCUUUCUUACUUUCUUUAAUAAUGUAAAUAUCAUCUUAAUGAAUGUAAGUUUAUGAAAAUGCAGACUAAAAUAAGUAAUUAUACAAACUAAAUUAAUAAAUGCUGUUUAAAUACUGGUCUUCAUGACAAAUCUACAAUCCUGUGCCACUCAGAGGCUUAAUAAAAAUGCAUUACAACUGUAGGACAAAUAACUCCUUACUAAUAGUUUAACACAGUUCACAUGAGAUAAUGUGAAGGGAAAAGUCUUUAAUACUUUAAUAUAAAUUUGCUGAAAAAAGAAUUUUGGAAAUUAUCUUAAAUUACAGUUUUUGUCUUAUACAGGUAAUUAUGAUUUCACCUUAGCUACUUAUAUUAUGGCCAAAGGUCUAAUUCAGUUAGUACUUUCUCUUUUCAGGUACAGUGUCAAAGUAUGUUCCUGUUUUUUUCUUAUUGCCUAAAUAAUAUGUAUGCUUGAAGAUGUAUGACUUAUAUUUGUAUGAAUAACUUUCACUAACCAAGCAUCAUUUCAACUGGAGAAUUAUGUAAAAAGUUCUAAUCAACUGCAUCAUUGUACAGUUUGUAAUUAUUUCUCUAAAAAUGUUCAUCAUGUACGGCGACAUAUGCUAAUUCAUACAGGAGAAAAGCCAUAUCAGUGUAAUAUAUGCAUGAAAAAGUUUAGACGGAAAGAACAUUUGAAAAGCCAUGUUAUCAUGGUACAUCAAAAUAUGUUAUGUUAUGAGGCAUAGAGUUUUUCAUUUUGAUAAUUGCUUGUUUUAAAUUCUGUCAUUAUGAUAUGCAUUUUAAGUGAUUUAAAAUUUAUUUUUUAUUACAUUGAAAAAGUUGAUGUCAUACAUACAUGCACAUGUAUACAUUAUUUUCCUCAUCUGCUUGGGAAUAAAACUGACAUGAAUUAAUUGAGUUUAAAUCUUAAUUCAGAUUUUCACUUAAGUAGACUAGGAAGACGAAAUAUGAUUCAGUUUCCUUAAUUGUUGAUAAUUAUUUUGAAAAAGGCUAAUACUCUUUGAAAAGUCAGCCUUUUUUCAUGGAAAAAGCAAUAAUUAGCACAAUUAAUUUUUUAAAAAUUAUUAUAUUUUUUAAUGUGUUUUAAUUGAACAAUAACUUAAAUGUGUUGAAAUAGUUUUCAAAUUACAAAAAAAUUUUUACUCUACUUUUUCUGAGAAGAUACUCUUUCUAAUUAAUCAAUAUGUAUUUAUAUAGAAUCAAGGGAUAAUUAAAAAUCUUAUAUCAAUACAUGUUUAUUCUCAAUGCUCAUAUUAUUAAAGAAAUAAAAUAAGCAAUUUCUUCUGUGCAUUCUAAGAAUCUUUAAUUAAAUAUGAAAAUUCUGAAAUGAAGAAGAAAUUCAUUGAAAAAGAAAUUGAUUUUAUAAAGGAGAAAAUUAUUCUUCAAAGGUGCAUUGUUAAAAAUUAACAAAUUUUUUGUGACUAGUGGGAAUAUUUAUUUGUUUAUUGCAACAAAUAAACUUAGAAAAGAUGCUAAAGAGAAGGAAACUCGUGUAAAUUAGCUAAUGUAUCAGGAAAAUUUUCAAAUUAAAAAGACACAUAAAUGUUUUGUUAUUUAUUGUUGCUACAAUAAUGUUUUGUAUUUUUUAAUGUAUAGUUAUACUAAUGUACAUUAUACAGUUAUAUUAUGUUGCUACAAAACAUAAUUACUUUGUAAAAUACAUAAUUGUUUUUCAGUUUUUAAUUUAGUUAUGCUAAUAUUUUAGAAUCAAAAUCAUAAAUUAUAACUGCUGUAAAAUAUUCGUAGUGCUUUUUUCAUGGAUAUAUUUUAGAAAUUAAAAAAUAUAUAUAUAUGUUAUUCUAACCAUGUAAAUCUAUUAUGAGUAAGGGUAUCCAACUGCAUAAUUUGAUUAUUUGUAACUAACUGCUCGCCCUUAAAUAUUAUCGCUGCAUAUUAAGAUGAGUUAUCUCCUUUCCUUAAUCCUUAUCGUAAAAGCAAGAUACAACACCAAAAUAUAAAAAUUAACAUAAAACUUUAUUCCUUACAGCUAAGGAGACUUAAUACAAAACAACCUAUGAUCUCUGGUGCUUCAGUGGCUUAUCGAAACUUUAUAUUAAAUAUUGUCUAUUAACUGGGUUAUAACUAAAGCAAAUAAUCUACAUGAAACUAUAACACUAACUGGGUUAGACAAAGUGCAGCUAACUUUCAACACUUGCAACCACUUGAUAUGAAAUUUGCAUAUACCUCUGGACUGAGCGACUGUUGCAAAAUGAGGCAUAAAAGAAAGAAUCAGUGUAAAGCUGACUCUUAGUAAGCUUUAAAUGAUAAGCCAUUAAUCUUCUUUGAAAUGUGUGGGAUCUAUUAUAAAUGUAAAAUAUAAAUGUUUCAAGAGAUUUUACAGCUUAAUGUUAAUUAGUUGAAAACUUAUAUGAAAUUAAUUUUAUUCUAGAAUUUGUUGUGUAAGUAUUAGUAAUCUAAUACUAACACAAUUAUUUAAUAAUAAUCCAUUCUAUUUACAGAUAUAUUUUAUUCUUACAAAUUACAAAAGUAAAGUUUAGGUGUAGAUAAUUGCUUUAGUUUUAGUUCCUAUUUGCUUGAUAGCUCCUUAAUUUUUUUUCAUUUGUGGUCCGUAAAGUCCUUAAAAGUACUAACCGUAUUUGCCGGCGUAUAAGACGCAUCAUCCUAUAAGACACAUUCCCUUUUUAAUACGCAUUUUUGAAGGAUAAAACUUUAUUACUAAGCAUUAUAAUUCCUCCAAGUUCUUAUGAUUUUCUCAGUUGAGGGUGGCUCAAUGCCUCUCUGCAACUCUGUUUCCAUGUUUUUUAGCAUACACAAUCACGCAUAGCUUGUAUGCUAUGUUAUAGCAAUGCCAACAUUGUUUUUGAGCCAUAAUAUGUCAACAAAUUUAAGAAAACUGAACAGUAGAAAUUUCACACACUUAAAAGUCGUUCACAAAAAUUGGGAAGUUAAAAUGAACCCAGCUGUGAUCGUCGAUGACAGCACAUGUGCAUUCACUGAGCUCUACAUAACUGUAAUAUUUCCACACUCUGCAAGGAAACAAGAAAAAAAUUUCGUAACUCCAAAUAGAGGAAAUUUCCAGAAACUAAUCUAAUCAAAAACUGAGUAUCGACGUAUAAGACGCACUCGGUUUUUUAGACCUAUUUUCAAUGAAAAAAGUGUGUCUUAUACGCCGGCAAAUACUGUAAUUUCCAUGUGGAUAUGUGUACUUAAUGUCGAUGUGUAUGAAUCUUGUAAACAGUAAAAUAUUAGAAACAGGAAAAGCAGUUUGGUAAAUUAAUAAUUAGAAAAGUAAUUUAGUAAAUUAUUAUGCCUCCAAGAAAUGAUAAACCUGCUUAAUAACUGUUGCAAAGCAAAAGUAUUUAAAUUUGAAAUAAAAAUUUCAGGAAAUGAAACUAAGUAGAUUUAAAAGGUAAUUUUCAUAAUAGUAAAGCAAAUAAUAUCUUGUAAUUUUGCCUAAAGUUUCCAAAAUUAGGAAGAAGCAAAAUCUCUUCCUUCCAUUCUUUAUUUUGCUGUUUCUUCAAUACAGAAUUUAGAGUUCCUCAAAUUAAGAUAAAGAAUUUUAUGAAAAGUAUUCCAGCAUUGGGUGGGAGGAUUCUUUAAAUACAGAGUUUAACUUUGUAUGUUCUUCGCAUGAAGCAAAUUUUCUUAUGAAUAAAAUGUUAACUACUAAAUAUCUAUUGCUUUUAAGUAGAGUAUAACGAAAUUUAGGGAAAAACUACGAAAAGUUGUUUGUUUGGGCAAUUAAUUGUUCUGUAUUUAUUAUAUUUAAUACAAAAUACUUUUAACACUUAUUUAUAACUUUUUAACUAUGCUCAUAAAACUGAAUAACUUGUUCUUCAUGAAUUUUGCCCAUAAAGUUAGGAACAUUUUAUAUUUGAAAAAAAAAAAAAAAAAAAUAUGGAAAUUUUAUAAAGUGUACUUUUUACUUACA
Molecule: long non-coding RNA, 5329 nt
Filed under: Stegodyphus dumicola
Lineage: Eukaryota; Metazoa; Arthropoda; Arachnida; Araneae; Eresidae
Description: uncharacterized LOC118202438
Source: RNAcentral